RNAcentral lists this unclassified non-coding RNA (296 nucleotides) under Hevea brasiliensis (rubber tree). The record is from RNAcentral. Lineage: Eukaryota; Viridiplantae; Streptophyta; Magnoliopsida; Malpighiales; Euphorbiaceae.
GGCACACCUUGUAGAAAUGACAUUAUAAGCAUUCAGUGUAACAGUCAUGCCGUAACAAAACUUGGCACAUAUUUCAAAAGCACUAGGUCCUCCAGGAAUGUCAUGAAUGUCAACUUCGUCACUAUUCCCUUCACUUGCAUUAGAAACCAGCUUUUGCAAAGUGGCACUCUUGGAAAGGAGAGGAAACUUAUGCAGAUAAAACUUCACAUCUCCUACAUUGAUAGCGAUGUCCGAGGCCAACUCUGAAGCAACAUAUCUGACAUUGUUCCCAUCUGUUUGAAAAUUAUCAGGCUUGG